This is a non-coding RNA of Misgurnus anguillicaudatus (oriental weatherfish), 1109 nucleotides long. The record is from RefSeq and is a predicted model, not a curated record. Lineage: Eukaryota; Metazoa; Chordata; Actinopteri; Cypriniformes; Cobitidae.
AUAACUAGUUUUCAACAAACAUGCCUUACUAAAAACAUUACUGGUGUCCAUUUUGAGGCUAAACAAAGGACACUAAUGUAUUUUAAGAUAUAUCAGUGCAAGUUGUUUUCAGUUUGGACAGCUCUUACAUUUAUUUUAGUCUAGGACUAAUCUAAUCCCUGUCCGGGAAACUGUCCGUAAUGUUUUUAGUAAGUAAUGUUUGUUGAAACUAGUUAUAUUUCCUAAUUAAACUAAGGCCUAGUCUUAGCUUAAGCUAAUCCCUGUCUGGGAAACCACCCCAUAAUGUCCCCUGUUUAAGACUGCAUAUCUAUACACACGCAUGUAAUAACUUUCACCUAUUUGCUUGCCUUGAUUAUUGGCAUCCUAAGAUAUUUUAUAACUGCCUGGCACAUUCUUGGAGUUUGACUUUAAUAAUAACAUAAUUCUCAACAUUUGGUAAUGACUGUACUGUAAUAUUGUGUGUCAACAAUUGCAAAUAACAUAUUAAUGUUCUUUCUUUAAUUUAUUAGAUUUUACCUCGUCCUCCACUGCCUCCAGUAAUUCCUGGUUUUAAGAUGUUAUAUAUACAUCAGGGUUCCCCAAAUCUUACCCUGGAGGGCCGGAGCACUGCAGAGUUUAGCUCCAACGCUGAUCAAACACACCUGAGCAAGCUAAUCAAGGUCUUCAUGAUCACUAGAAAAUCACAGGUGGAGUAAUGGAGUAAAGAUGCAACGGAGCAGCUGAUAAGAAAACAUGCUUAAGACCAUCUUAAACGUGCACCAUCAAGAAAGGGAGGGGUACACAAUAAACAUUUUUUUUAACAUUACUUUUUGAAUAGAUGCACUUUAAAAAAAAUUUUUUAAGUAUAUAUAUUGUUUAUUUAUGAUGUUUUUAAAUGUUAUAAUUGUAUUGUUUUUACUUGUUGUAUUUACCUUUUAUGGAUUUGUGCACACACAAACACACACACACAACCACAUUUAUACAAAAUAAGUUUUGAAUAAAUACGUUUAAUGGAGUGCAAAGUGUGAGUCUUUAUUUAGCUAAAUGAUGUCUGCAGUUGACGUUAUAAGACGUUGAAAAUAUGUACACAAUGACCACAUUUCAACUAAAUUUGGACCUUAAACAGACGU